Pieris brassicae (large cabbage white) is the source of this 1297-nucleotide long non-coding RNA. RefSeq lists it as uncharacterized. The transcript has 3 exons. The record is from RefSeq and is a predicted model, not a curated record. NCBI's taxonomy places the organism in Eukaryota, Metazoa, Arthropoda, Insecta, Lepidoptera, Pieridae.
UGAUAAAUGUCUAAAUUUUCUUGUUAGCUAAAUAUUUACUAUUUUAUUUGAUAUAAAUUAGAUUGAUUAUUGAAGAUAAAGUAUAUCAAACAUGUAAUUCGGGAAGCUUUUUUAAAUUCAAAUUAGUUAAAACCACUUGUUUAAUGUAGUGUAAAUAUCCCUAAAGAUGUUCUUAUCCAUACAAUCGAACUGGCAAAGGUGCCACUUAAAGCACGAAACAAGGGAUAGCUAACAUUAUCAUCUGGAUAUAUUGUUAGAAUUUUAAGAAGAAGCUGGAAUAUACCUUAACAAAAAUAUUAUCAUGUCAGUGUCAGCUAAAAUAGAUUAUCACAGCAAAUAGUGUAAAAAUUUAAACUAAACAGGAUGCAUCUUAAAUUUUACUAAAAAAUGACAUAGGACUGCCGUUAGAGUGUCAAACACAGAUGGCAUACAGUUGCCCGGUAUAUAAUUAAUUGGAGAGGCAGAAUUCGUGUCCUAGGACUACACCAAAUAUUUUGUUUUCUGUUGCACUAUAUUUAAUAAUUGUUUUGAAUCAAAAACCGAGUUUGUAUGAUGCGUAAUCUUCAUAGUUUUUGUGUAAACCUUUUACGCGAAACAGUAAAAGUUUCAUACAUCUGUUCAUUGUGAAAUAUUUGUACUCUGUGACUCAUGCUACUGUAUCGGGAAAUAAACCGCUUGACCGAACUCUUAUUAAACAUAAAACAUUAAAAGAGGCAUCAAAGCUUCAGAUAAGACCUAAUAUAUCUACAAUAAGAAAUAAUUACGACUGCAUUAGAGCAUUAGAUACUAGUAACUUAAAUAGUUUCGUUAACUUUAUAUAACAAGCAUUUAUAUAUAUAAUAAAAUGUAUAAUAGCGUUACGUUAACAAUCAGUAUUUUUUUGUAUAUCUAAUCUCACAUAUAUUAGUAUUCUACUUGAAUUUUCAACUCUCUGAAGGCGAUUACAAUAACAAGAAAUUAUAGAACCUAAACAAAAUAGUUUUAUUCAUAAAUUGGUAGUUAAGAAUACAUAUUUACCGGAAAUGUUUUUGAAUUUUUCACGGUCUUUCAGUUUAUUAUUUCUGCCACAUCAAUGCAACAAUAAUAAUUAUACAACGUAGUUUAGAACAAUAAAACGAAUGAUUUUAUUAUUAUAAAUAUUCGCUUAAUAGCGAGGUUAUAUAAUAUUGCGUAAAAAGAUACUUGGUUGCUAUUACGAAAAACAUGGGACAAUAUUAGCAAAUAAUAGCAACAUGCUGGGCACAACUAAUUUGAGUGUCUUAACUCAUGGUUAUAAUAUUUUACAGACUCGGUCACA